Molecule: non-coding RNA, 236 nt
Organism: Pelobates cultripes (western spadefoot toad)
Lineage: Eukaryota; Metazoa; Chordata; Amphibia; Anura; Pelobatidae
Source: the annotation of a GenBank genome assembly
CCCAGCUCGUCAUGCUAGAGCACUUUUUCAAUGUGCUCCCAAUGACAAGGCGUCGACGCAUUCGUAUGUCAAUCCAUAUCAACUUUCGAUGCCAUUUACUGCGCCUACCAUGGUGACCACGGGUAACGGGGAAUCAGGGUUCGACUCCGUACCGGGACCUUGGCAAACGGCUACCACAUGCAAGGAAGGCAGCAGGCGCGCAAAUGACCCACUCCCGACGCGGGGAGGUAGUGACG